AGUGAACGCUGGCGGUAGGCCUAACACAUGCAAGUCGAACGGCAGCACAGUAAGAGCUUGCUCUUACGGGUGGCGAGUGGCGGACGGGUGAGGAAUACAUCGGAAUCUACUUUUUCGUGGGGGAUAACGUAGGGAAACUUACGCUAAUACCGCAUACGACCUACGGGUGAAAGCAGGGGAUCUUCGGACCUUGCGCGAUUGAAUGAGCCGAUCUCGGAUUAGCUAGUUGGCGGGGUAAAGGCCCACCAAGGCGACGAUCCGUAGCUGGUCUGGGAGGAUGAUCAGCCACACUGGAACUGAGACACGGUCCAGACUCCUACGGGAGGCAGCAGUGGGGAAUAUUGGACAAUGGGCGCAAGCCUGAUCCAGCCAUACCGCGUGGGUGAAGAAGGCCUUCGGGUUGUAAAGCCCUUUUUUUGGGAAAGAAAAGCAGCAGGUUAAUACCCCGCUGUUCUGACGGUACCCAAAGAAUAAGCACCGGCUAACUUCGUG
Molecule: ribosomal RNA, 492 nt
Filed under: uncultured bacterium
Lineage: Bacteria
Description: partial 16S ribosomal RNA
Rfam family: Bacterial small subunit ribosomal RNA
Source: RNAcentral